RNAcentral lists this long non-coding RNA (567 nucleotides) under Portunus trituberculatus (swimming crab). RNAcentral's name for it is "uncharacterized LOC123503710, transcript variant X3". The record is from RNAcentral. Lineage: Eukaryota; Metazoa; Arthropoda; Malacostraca; Decapoda; Portunidae.
UAGAUGAAGCGAACCUCGGCGUUGACGAUCCAAAGGCCUGACUCCACAGCGGUAAUGCGUCCCCUCUACUAUCAAGGAGAGACUCUACCUUGCACUACACCUUCACUGACAACGCCCACGAUCAACACCUCUGCCUCACCACUACCGCAACAUCAGAGGACUGUCUUGCAUCGCGCCCAGACACUACGUAGAUUUCACUAACCAGGAAUUGGCGAUCCAAGGCCUGAGUGUAGCGAUCAAGGGACUCCACCACCACUGCCGCCGUCCAGCGAGAUUCGGCUCCACAUCUCACACCUUCCGCCGCCGUCCCAACACCACCACCAUCAAGGAUUAUGCACGGCACCUUGACCCUGCGCGGCCAUCACCUACUGUGGGUGUUGGUGGCCAGGGUGACGGGGGAGGAGUUGCGGGCAGCGUGACAGUCAGUCUUCCCUCAUUCACUGUGGUACUGUGGGUGGUGUGGUGUGGUGCCAUUACUCCAUUGUAAUAAACUGUCUUCACUGCCUCAUUGUGGUGUUCUCACUGUACUAAGAGCUGUUGUCAAUAAAUAAUAAAUUGUGUAGAAAU